UCCUCUGGAACUGAGUUACAGAUGGUGUGAGCUGCCACAUGGGUGUUGGGAACCCAGGUCCUCUGCAGGAGGAGCAAGCGUGCUUAACCGCUGAGCCAUCUCUACAGCCCGUACCCACAGCCCUGGAAAACAUUCUUUGUGAUAAACUUGGUGAACGAGAACGUUUCCCUGAGCUUUGUGGGCUGUGCAAAUCAGCGGAGCCGGAAGAAGAGUCUUAGCGGAGCCGGAAGAAGAGUCUUAGUGGAGCCGGAAGAAGAGCUUAGGAACUCUUAACAUGUGGCUGACCUGUGUGACUUGUGACUGAUUUGAAGCGGUGACUGUGGGAAUUGACCCCGUCUGCAGUCCUGAGUGUUCGCCCUGGGUGCACAGGCAUCAUUGUUUGGAGGAAGCACCUGGACUUGACCUGGGCCUGCACGGAGUUCUGUGCUGUUCCUGCAGGAGGUACACCGCCUUGAAUCCGCUACCAAACCCUUUGGUAGUGACACCUGGGGUGGUUGCUGGGUCCGGAAGGAUAAUGCAUGAUUAAUACUGUAGCGGAGUACAGCCCGUCUGUAACUGGUGUUCAGAACAGGGAAGAGGAGUGAGAGAUCUCAUUUGUCUGGCUGCUGGGUUUCCAGUGAGGGAGCUAUUGGGAACACCCUGGUAUAAGGACGCCAGAAUACUGCUCCCCACAAUGGUGAGAGCAUCCCCACCCCCUGCUUCUGAUUUGAAAGACCAAGUGUGACAAAUUGAUGACAAGGUUGGGUUGGGAUGGCAGCGCUGUGUCUAGGUGUUCAGAGUGUAGCCUUCCUCACUGUGAUUCUGAGCGGGUGGUGCCGGUGCCUGUAGUUGGCCUGGCUGGGAUUGUUCUGAGGUUCCCUUUGUGUUGGUCACAGCAUGUCUAGUUGAGACUGUCGAAUGUAAAGUAGGGGACCCAGCAUUGUCCUAAGAGAAGGGGACAUAGGGUGCACUGUGCACCUCCACGGGAGGCACACUGCUCAGGUGCCCCGGAACUGACGCGUACAGGUGGGGUUGACUCUUCUGAGAUGAGGGUCUGAUGUUCAGGUGCCCAAGGAACUGGCCUGGCAGAGGUGGGGUGAGGGCCUGAGAGUCGCAGUGAGCAGGUGCCAGCAUGAACUUCCUGACAGACCCGGCUUUGCUGGCAGUAGCAUUCUGCACACAUGCCUCUGGGGCCUGGCUGGGGCAGCUACUUCUCUCACAGUGUGUGUUCAGCACUUUCCAAGUUACCCUUUGCUUUGUGCUUGAAACCUUGGCCAGCUCCUUCUGGGACCCGUCUGGAGCAUUUUCCUCUCGUAUUCCCUUUCUACAGACCAGCCUCUCAGCAAGGCCCUUCUUUGGGAUUAUUGUUUAUAUUUAUUUUAUUUUUGUUUUUGCUUGUUUGUUUGUUUAUGUAUUUACUUGAGACAGAGUUUCUCUGUGUAGCCCUGGCUGUCCUGGAACUCAUUCUCUAGACAGGGAUCUGCCUGUGGCUGCCUCCCAAGUACUGGGAUUAAAGGCAUGUGUCGCCAUGACUGGUUGGGACAGGAUUUUGGGGCAUAGCAACCGAACAGGAUAUGCUCCUGGAACCUCAACUGAGAGUGUGUUCCUGGGCUGGUGGGUGGAGUGCUUGGCUGGCAGGGACCUCUACCCAAGGAGCAGGCCUCUGGACUCUGUGUAUGGGUCUCAUCUCAGGUCCCUUCCAGAGAUGAGAUGGGUGUGGAGACACACCCAUGCUGGUGAGCUGGGCUGUGCAGCUCAUACCAGCAGCUUUCAGACCCAUCUGGCCCUUGGGUCGUCAGUGAUGAGUCAGGGUUUGACCCUUCCCAGAGUGACUCCAAGCUCAAUCUUGGGCAAGCGUGUAGGCAGAGUGUAUCCUGGCCAAACAGGAUUGCAGCAGGAGGCUAGUGUACUUACCCGCAGGCCUCUAGCCUCUGCCCGCAGGGUGGGAAGAAGGAAGCCUAGAUUCUGUCCUGUUUCUCGGGUUGUCUCUACCGCCUGAGUCAUCUUGAUAAAAAAUUCACAAACUUGGUGCCUCAGAGUCUUGGUGGUUCUGUCUCCAGGGCAUUUGUGAGUCUGAAUCACCUAAAGGAUGGUUUGUUUUCUUUUGAGACGGGCCCCAGUGUGCAGCUCACGUUGGUCUGGAGGUGGCCAUGCACUCCUGGCUGGCUUUGAACAUCUGCUGAAGCUUCCCAAAUGAUGGGGCUGUGGGCGUGCACCUCCAGGCCCAGCUUGCUCCUGUUUCCUGUUUAAGUUCAAACAGACUUUAUAGAGACCCUGAUUUUUGAAAGAUAGUUCUGUAACUU
Non-coding RNA from Peromyscus maniculatus bairdii (prairie deer mouse), 2282 nucleotides. The record is from RefSeq and is a predicted model, not a curated record. NCBI's taxonomy places the organism in Eukaryota, Metazoa, Chordata, Mammalia, Rodentia, Cricetidae.